CUACGUGCCAGCAGCCGCGGUAAUACGUAGGUGGCGAGCGUUGUCCGGAAUCAUUGGGCGUAAAGGGAGCGCAGGCGGGCCGGUAAGUCUUACUUAAAAGUGCGGGGCUUAACCCCGUGAUGGGAUGGAAACUGGGAAGCUCAGAGUAUCGGAGAGGAAAGCGGAAUUCCUAGUGUAGCGGUGAAAUGCGUAGAUAUUAGGAGGAACACCAGUGGCGAAGGCGGCCUUCUGGGCCAUAACUGACGCUGAGGAGCGAAAGCUAGGGGAGCAAACAGGAUUAGAUACCCUGGUAGUCCUAGCCGUAAACGAUGGACACUAGGUGUGGGGGAAUAUUUCUUCCGUGCCGCAGCUAACGCAUUAAGUGUCCCGCCUGGGGAGUACGGCCGCAAGGCUAAAACUCAAAGGAAUUGACGGGGGCCCGCACAAGCAGCGGAGCAUGUGGUUUAAUUCGAAGCAACGCGAAGAACCUUACCAGGGCU
This 479-nucleotide ribosomal RNA is filed under the name uncultured bacterium. RNAcentral describes it as "bacterial SSU rRNA". It matches the Rfam family "Bacterial small subunit ribosomal RNA", at positions 501 to 981 of the family's 1533-position model. The record is from RNAcentral.